Molecule: ribosomal RNA, 87 nt
Filed under: Salmonella enterica subsp. enterica serovar Infantis
Lineage: Bacteria; Pseudomonadati; Pseudomonadota; Gammaproteobacteria; Enterobacterales; Enterobacteriaceae
Also listed under: 7 other names
Description: partial 16S ribosomal RNA
Rfam family: Bacterial small subunit ribosomal RNA
Source: RNAcentral
UUAAAUUGAAGAGUUUGAUCAUGGCUCAGAUUGAACGCUGGCGGCAGGCCUAACACAUGCAAGUCGAACGGUAGCACAGAGAGCUUG